RNAcentral lists this ribosomal RNA (426 nucleotides) under uncultured bacterium. Its description in RNAcentral is "bacterial SSU rRNA". It matches the Rfam family "Bacterial small subunit ribosomal RNA", at positions 917 to 1344 of the family's 1533-position model. The record is from RNAcentral.
GGGCCCGCACAAGCGGUGGAGUAUGUGGUUUAAUUCGAUGCAACGCGAAGAACCUUACCAGGGUUUGACAUCCUGCGAAUCUCUUGGAAACGAGAGAGUGCCUUCGGGAACGCAGUGACAGGUGGUGCAUGGCUGUCGUCAGCUCGUGUCGUGAGAUGUUGGGUUAAGUCCCGCAACGAGCGCAACCCACGUCUUUAGUUGCCAGCAUUUAGUUGGGCACUCUGAAAGAACUGCCAGUGAUAAGCUGGAGGAAGGUGGGGAUGACGUCAAGUCCUCAUGGCCCUUACGUGUUGGGCUACACACGUGCUACAAUGCUACGGACAAAGGGCAGCAAACUCGCGAGAGCUAGCAAAUCCCAUAAACCGUGGCUCAGUUCAGAUCGUAGGCUGCAACUCGCCUACGUGAAGGAGGAAUCGCUAGUAAUCG